GACGAACGCUGGCGGCGUGCCUAAUACAUGCAAGUAGAACGCUGAAGGAGGAGCUUGCUUCUCUGGAUGAGUUGCGAACGGGUGAGUAACGCGUAGGUAACCUGCCUGGUAGCGGGGGAUAACUAUUGGAAACGAUAGCUAAUACCGCAUAACAGUAGAUAUCGCAUGAUAUCUACUUGAAAGGUGCAAUUGCAUCACUACCAGAUGGACCUGCGUUGUAUUAGCUAGUUGGUGAGGUAACGGCUCACCAAGGCGACGAUACAUAGCCGACCUGAGAGGGUGAUCGGCCACACUGGGACUGAGACACGGCCCAGACUCCUACGGGAGGUAGCAGUAGGGAAUCUUCGGCAAUGGACGGAAGUCUGACCGAGCAACGCCGCGUGAGUGAAGAAGGUUUUCGGAUCGUAAAGCUCUGUUGUAAGAGAAGAACGAGUGUGAGAGUGGAAAGUUCACACUGUGACGGUAUCUUACCAGAAAGGGACGGCUAACUACGUG
RNAcentral lists this ribosomal RNA (495 nucleotides) under uncultured bacterium. RNAcentral describes it as "partial 16S ribosomal RNA". It matches the Rfam family "Bacterial small subunit ribosomal RNA", at positions 28 to 507 of the family's 1533-position model. The record is from RNAcentral.